CUGGACUGGAAUCGAGAGCAAGUUAAGAAGCACCCUAAGCAUCAACCAGUAUUGAGGCUGCAUUUUAUCAGGCAGUGCCCAAAGCAAGAGAGACAGUCCUUGUCCUUAAGAACUUACAGUCUAAACGAACACACAAUGAAUCCUUGGAUGAAAACCAUGUGGUCCUGCUGAUUUUCUGCACCUGAGAUGCUCAAGUUCCUCCAUUACUUCCUCCUUAGAGACUUCAGUUCUCAUCUAGGCCACAAUCAUAAUAAAUGCUUAUGGAGCAGACGUUUCUCCAGGCCCAUCUGCAAU
This is a long non-coding RNA of Mauremys reevesii (Reeves's turtle), 294 nucleotides long. RefSeq lists it as uncharacterized. The transcript has 3 exons. Lineage: Eukaryota; Metazoa; Chordata; Testudines; Geoemydidae. The record is from RefSeq and is a predicted model, not a curated record.